Molecule: ribosomal RNA, 609 nt
Filed under: Phlebia radiata
Lineage: Eukaryota; Fungi; Basidiomycota; Agaricomycetes; Polyporales; Meruliaceae
Description: eukaryotic LSU rRNA
Rfam family: Eukaryotic large subunit ribosomal RNA
Source: RNAcentral
AAACUAACAAGGAUUCCCCUAGUAACUGCGAGUGAAGCGGGAAAAGCUCAAAUUUAAAAUCUGGCGGUCUUCGAUCGUCCGAGUUGUAGUCUGGAGAAGCGUCUUCCGCGCUGGACCGUGUACAAGUCUCUUGGAACAGAGCGUCGUAGAGGGUGAGAAUCCCGUCUUUGACACGGACUACCAGUGCUUUGUGAUGCGCUCUCAAAGAGUCGAGUUGUUUGGGAAUGCAGCUCAAAAUGGGUGGUAAAUUCCAUCUAAAGCUAAAUAUUGGCGAGAGACCGAUAGCGAACAAGUACCGUGAGGGAAAGAUGAAAAGCACUUUGGAAAGAGAGUUAAACAGUACGUGAAAUUGCUGAAAGGGAAACGAUUGAAGUCAGUCGCGUCGUCUAGAACUCAACCUUGCCUCGGCUCGGUGCAUUUUCUAGUUGACGGGCCAGCAUCAGUUUUGACCGUCGGAAAAAGGUCCUCGAAAUGUGGCACCUUCGGGUGUGUUAUAGCCUUGGGUCGUAUACGACGGUUGGGACUGAGGACCGCAGCACGCCUUUAUGGCCGGGGUUCGCCCACGUACGUGCUUAGGAUGCUGGCGUAAUGGCUUUAAACGACCCGUCU